ACUGGGCAUGGUCGGACCAACUACAGGGAACAUCCCAUUCACGAGCAUUUCAGUGGGCAUCCCAACAUUCGAUCACACCCCCUGGGUGAGGGGGGGUGCACACACCUUAGACAGGCAUGCGAGGGCAACGUGAUACUGCCAUUCCCAGUGCUGCAAACCAAGUUCUCCCUGCUCACCAGACACAUAUUCCCUUAUCUCCAAC
Non-coding RNA from Pelobates cultripes (western spadefoot toad), 202 nucleotides. The record is from the annotation of a GenBank genome assembly. Lineage: Eukaryota; Metazoa; Chordata; Amphibia; Anura; Pelobatidae.